Molecule: long non-coding RNA, 3546 nt
Filed under: Homo sapiens (human)
Lineage: Eukaryota; Metazoa; Chordata; Mammalia; Primates; Hominidae
Description: HSALNT0304156
Source: RNAcentral
ACCUGCCGCGCGGUCGCAACUCUGUCUCAUCGUCUGGUUCCGGACCCCGAGGCUCCUGCUCUCCCGCGGCUGCCGGCAGCGCCUCAGCGUCCUCCACAGUCACCUCGGCCGCAGCCACGGCGCCCGCCGCCGGUACUCGCGUCGCUGAGGUGGGAGCAGCGGCCGCCCCGAGGCCGAACGCCGCCUCCGCCGUCGGCGCUGGGAGGCCACGGGCGCGCCCCGCGGCCACCGUCCUUGCCGCGAGCCCCAGCAGCAGCAGCAGCAGCAGCAGCGCCCGUACCAGCAGCCCCGGGCUGAUGGCGCGCUCCAUCAGCGUCCCGCCCCGCGCGCAGGCAUGGAGGCGCAGCCACUGACGCCUGCCUCUCCCGCCGCUUGGAGCUCCCAAGAAGGCAAGGACGUGCUAGGGACCCUACUGCCGCCCCGACGGCCUGGACAGCCAGCCGUGUUCCCCUGGCCACGUCUCAGCCCGGCCUCUGCCGCUGCCACCUGAGUGACAGCCUAUCUCGGACAUCGCCCAUUGAGCAAACUUUCCGCGCGUUUGCUCUCUCAUUGGCUGCGGCCGCUGCCACUCCAUGUUCCCAGGCUGGCCUUGUUGGGGAAGGUGGACUUUCCCUGGUGGUCAACAUCGCACCUACCAAUCAAAUCGUAAUUUCGUCGUUCGAGGCCCGUCCCUCUUCCGGACGCAAUUACCAAUGAGAAAUGCCCUUCCCCGACGUCUUUUUACCUGAUUGGUGCGCUCAUCAGUUCCCGGAAUACCUUUCCUACAACAGAUUGGCCAUCGCGGUGGUUGGCCUCGCCCCACAAAGCGAGGCGCUGGAGAAGACUUGAAGAUCAUUGGUGGAAGUGGAUGUCCCUCAAAGGUCUGCGCUAACUGCCUCUUGAUUGGUUGGAAGCGGCACUUACUACGUGGCGGAUUCUGACUGUGAAGAGGACUGUCCCAAGUGAAGAGUGGGAGGCAAGUGCCUUGUGACCGGGAGGAGGUCGACCUUAAAGGAGCUGGUAUUGUAGCUCUUCUAAAGCCUAGUCUACUUAGGAAGGCAAAAGCGAAGCAGCAAGAAGUGGCCACAGAAGCCGUGUGGUCCCUAGAAGUAGAAGGGUAAGGAGGAUGCAGGAGAUGGUCCUACUUGUGGCCGCAACGGGGCUCAGAAGUCCGCUUGUUAGAGAUGGCAGUGACCUGUGACAAUCCAGUCUGCCCGACACGCCUCCCGCCUCCUUAGGAACGGGAAGGAGCCCCGGCCCAGUGCACUGACGUAGUUAGCCUAAGAUCACGUAGCUGGUUGGUCACAGAAUCAUGACUUUAAUUCAUGUCUUCUGACUCUGACCUGGCACGCUUUGUACCUCACCAAAGACAGUGAUGAAAUUGCAAAAGGGCAGAGUGGAGAAGACUGGAAUGUUCAGCCAAGGCAUUUGAACUUUUAAUGCUGCAAGUCAAGACUUCCUGAAGAUUUUUGAGCAGAUGAGUGAAGUGAUAAGAAAAUGCAUCUUCAGCAGUGACAGCAUCAACGAGGAGGAGACUGGCCGGGAGGCUAUUACCCGCAUCAAAACCAGUGAACAUUAAAAAAAAUUUUUUUUUUAGAGAGAGGGUCUUGCUCUUUUGCCCAGGCUGGAGUGCAGUGGCUUGACCAUAGUUCUCUAUAACCUUGAAUUCCUGCGUUCAAGCGAUCUUCCUUCCUCAGCUUCCGGAGUAGCUGGGACUACAGAUGCGUGCCACCAUGCCAGGCCAAUUUUUAAUUUUGUUUUGUAAAGAUGGGGUUUCUGUGUUGCCCAGGUAGGACAAAGAGGAAUGACAAAAGGCAUGUAACCACCUGAAUUUGCCCCUAUCAAAGAGCUCUCCAGGAAGCACCACCAAGGAAUUUUCACUGACAUUUCCCAGGCCAGACCAUGCUGCUGCUAAGCAAAAUGAGGAUUCUGCUAGUGAGGAUGAAAGGAAGAAUGUGUAAUCAGUUUUCUUGAAGUAUAAUACAUGUACAAUAAACUGAACCUAUUGGAAAUAUACAUUUGGAUGAGUUUUGACAGAUGUAUAUACCACAGUCAAGAUACAGAACAUUCCCAUCACUCCAAGAGAUUCUUUGUGUCCCUUUGUGGUCAAUCCCUCCUACACGAGGCCCCUAGGUAACCGCUGAUCUGUUUUCCAUCACAAUAGAUUAGUCUGCAUAUUCUAGCAUCUUUAAUAAAUGCAGUCAUACAGUAUGUACUUUUGUGUCUUACUUUUUUCACUCCAUAUAAUGUUUUUAAAUUUAUUCAUGUUGUUGAAUGUAGCAAUACUUAGUUCCUUUUUACUGCUGAGUAGUACUCUGCUUUAUAUGUUCCAUGUUUCUUUAUCCAUUUACUUGUUGGAGUACAUUUGGUAUAUUUUCAAUUUUUGGCGAUUACACAUAAAGCUACUAUGAGAACAUUUAUGUACGUACAGGUCUUUUUGUAGAUGUAGGUUUUUAUUUCUCUUGGGUAAAUACCUAGAUGUGGAAUAACUCGCUCAUAUAGUAGAUGGAUGUUUAACUUUAUAAGAAUCUGCCAAGCAUUUUCACAAAGUGAUGUACCAUUUUAUACCCCCACCAGUGGUGCACGAGAGUUCAAGUUGUUCUAUAUCCUCACCAACAUUUGGUAAUUGUCUUUUUAAUUCUAACUAUUCUAGUAGGUAUGUGAUGCCAUUUCAUUGUAGCUUUGGUUUGCAUAUCCCUGACGACUAGUGAUUUUGAACAUCUUUUAAUGUGCUUGUUGGACAUUAUAUAUCAUCUUUUGUAAAAUGUCUAUUAAAAGUGUUUAUAAAGAGAGAAAUGUUUAUGGGUAGGCACUCUUGAAGAGUUUGCCACACAGUGAAAUUUGUUGUGUUGUACCAGUUAGCUAUUGGCAUAGCAAUGCUGUGUAAGCAACCAUCCCAAAAUUCAGUGGCUUUAAACAGCAAAAAUGUAUACUCUGACACCCUUCACCUGGAGUUGCCUGAUCUAGCUAGAGCACGAUUUUCUUAUGGCAAUGGAAGAAACACAAUUAAGAUGGGUGGAAACUUACAUGGCCUCUUAAAACUAGUAUCAGAACUGGAGCACUUAUUAUUGGAGCAGGAUGGACUAAAGCAAGGCAUAUGACUAGGCCUAACAUCAAAGAGGCAGGACAACAUGCCCUGCCUCUAGUGAAAGAAACUGCAAAGUCAUGUGACAGAGGGCAUGGAACUAAAAUGUAAUUGUAGCAAGGAAUUAGCUCAUCAAUGUUUCUUAAAGUGUGGCCCUGGACUGACUUCAUCAGAAGUUCAAGGAAUGGGGUCCAGGAAUCUGCAGAUUUUCCUUUUUUUUUUUUUUUUUUUUGAGAUGGAGUUUCGCUCUUGUUGCCCCGGCUGGAGUGCAAUGGUGCAAUCUUGGCUCACUGCAACUUCCAUCUCCCGGGUUCAAGCUAUUCCCCUGCCUCAGCCUCCUGAGUAGCUGGGAUUACAGGAAGGCGCCAUCAUACCCGGCUAAUUUUGUAUUUUUAGUAGAGACAGUUUCUCCACGUUGGUCAGGCUGGUCUCGAACUCCCAACCUUAGGUGAUCCACCCACCUCAGCCUCCCAGAGUGCUGG